UCCUUCAGAAAGAUGCAAUCAUU
Molecule: microRNA, 23 nt
Filed under: Cavia porcellus (domestic guinea pig)
Lineage: Eukaryota; Metazoa; Chordata; Mammalia; Rodentia; Caviidae
Description: cpo-miR-509d-5p
Gene: cpo-miR-509d-5p
Source: miRBase by way of RNAcentral